ACCUGGGUGGCUCAGUCGGUUAAGUAUCUGACUUCAGCUCAGUUCAUGAUCUCACAGGUUGUGAGUUCAAGCCCCACAUCAGGUU
Molecule: transfer RNA, 85 nt
Organism: Felis catus (domestic cat)
Lineage: Eukaryota; Metazoa; Chordata; Mammalia; Carnivora; Felidae
Rfam family: tRNA
About the family: Transfer RNA (tRNA) molecules are approximately 80 nucleotides in length. Their secondary structure includes four short double-helical elements and three loops (D, anti-codon, and T loops).
Source: Rfam